CGUUUGCAUAAAGCACGGGGGCGACGCACCUUUUCCCACGCCGCUCCACGGGAGGAUGAUUGGCGGCGGCUCGUGCGUAGCCAGACACCGAAAUGCUGCUCUGUUAUAACUGCAUUUAAAGAAGCCGCUGGCUCCGGCACCUCUACGGGCUACACAGCUACACUCAAUUUCACCUUUUGCUUGGAUCCCGUUUUUUUUGACUGGCACCUGUGAAUGUGACCCACAUCCAACGUGAAUUUGAUGGAUGCAUUGCGAAGUGACCCCCGCGUGGAAAAUAAUUGCAAGUCAUCACAUUUAACCUUCCGCUGUGGACACUUUACACAUUUAGUCUCACUGCAUUAAGGCAAGGAAAUCUGCAUGUGUUCAAACCUAAGCACCAACCAUACGAAGCACUAAUGUAAACAGUUGAGCUUUUCACAUUAAAACCUAAUCUACCUAAUCAGCACGGUGCCUUCACAGAUCACGUUUAAUUCUAUUUUCUGAGAAUCCUCAAACUGUGCUGACAUGGUGGUCUGAGAAAAAAAAAAAAAAAAAAAAAAGAAUAACAUGCUGGCAAGAGUGGAACACGGUGGUGGUUCUUUGCCACUUUGGGGCAAAUGGGGUCAGGAUUAAUGGCGUCCUAAAUGAUGAGAAAGGCACCGUGCAUUACAAUCAGGGCAUGAUUGGCGCCAAAUUUAUUCUGCAGCGAGACAACUGCAAAACAACACUUCCAUCGUUGAAAGCAUUUUUCUCCACACCUGCCAAAAACGUUUGCACGGUAUUGUACAUCUCUGUUUUCAGAUUGUGUUAAUGUCAGUCUGACUGUUGCCUUCCUGGUGCCUGGGGCAUCCUCCACAUGUACACUAAAGUAUGUUGGAACCUCCACCGCUGACACUUCACUGGGGCAAUAAUGGGCCACAAGUGUAUAAAUAUAUAUAGAAUGGCCUCUGACAGAAACAUUGCUGUGUCAAAUAUGAACAAAUAAAAUAAAAAAAUUAAAUGCAUUCGGAGAGCGUUCCAUUUUCACGCCUGUGCACAUCUGGUCAGUUACUAUUGAUUGUGGAAUGCCUCAGUCUAGUUGUUAUUUCUGCUCCUGAUCAUCACUUUAUGGCUAAAGAAAAAUGUCUGAUACCAGAAAUAUAAUGUUUUGACAAGCCAUGAGAAAUGCCUUGUCAAAUAAAUGUCAAAUAAAAUCUUUAAAAUAAUCCUUUUCUCUUGAUUUGUCCUUAAACUAAAUGCCUAUUUUAGACAUCAUCCGCUUCUAAACUCCAUUUAUGCAGCUACUACAUACAGUUUUCCAGCUGCACUACAGCUGCACCAGUGGUCACCAGAAUAUACUUCAAAACAUGACUUGCAUUUAUAACUUGCACGUCUAUUUGCUUCUUUCAGCAGGCAUGUUGGAAAUAUGAGUACCUGGCACUUUACCUGGCGGAUGAAUGGCAGGAACACUCGGGUUAACGGCGCGGAGGUGCUCUUCAGCUCGGAGACUGCCGAGGACCGAAGGGGAUUCAUACAGCGAGUGUUACGUUGUAGAUAACAAAAAAAUGUUUCAAGCUGCAGAAACUAAUAAAACAAAGUCCUUAGUCACAAAAAAUGAUUUUUUUUCCUCCUCGGUCAUGAGCUGGAAUCCCACCUCGCAGCCCAUUUCAUCUCCUCCUUCCUGUCUCAACUCCCCACUGUGUCGGUAAUAAG
Mugil cephalus (flathead mullet) is the source of this 1671-nucleotide long non-coding RNA. RefSeq lists it as uncharacterized. NCBI's taxonomy places the organism in Eukaryota, Metazoa, Chordata, Actinopteri, Mugiliformes, Mugilidae. The transcript has 2 exons. The record is from RefSeq and is a predicted model, not a curated record.